This 300-nucleotide long non-coding RNA is filed under the name Callithrix jacchus (white-tufted-ear marmoset). RNAcentral's name for it is "lncRNA (ENSCJAG00000078548.1)". The record is from RNAcentral. Lineage: Eukaryota; Metazoa; Chordata; Mammalia; Primates; Cebidae.
UUUUCCAGUAUGGCAGAGCACCACAGAGUUCCAAUGUAAAGUCCCAAGUCACCUUACUCUCUCUUUCCCAAGCACACAGAUUCUUUCUUUUUGCCAGGCCGUGCUUCCAGGAGAUGGGGGAGGAAUGGCACAGAAAAUUCAAAACUGGCUUUCCCACCCUCUGGAGCGCUUCUUUUCCUGAUACCAUGUUACAACCGGGAGCUAUAUAAUCAACCAUGGAUAAAGACGUUUGAAAUCAAGACCUACAUUUAUAAAUGUCCAGAUGCUGAUCACAGAUGUUAUGUUGGUUUUGUUUCAUAA